UAUUAUUCCCUGACUUGCUCCACUCUCAUCACACCCACUUUGACCUUGUCUUUCUUGACUGAAUUGUUCUUGAUUGAUCGAACUCUGCAAGGUAUUAUUUCUUCCGAUUUGGCAAAUGUAUCGAUGGAUUGGCUUGCUUUUUUAUUCAAAAAACACAACAACUAUAUUUGAUUAUGUACUUGAAUAAAAAAAGACAGAACAACUAUAUUUGAUUGCUGAAAUUAGUGACGAUGAGCAAGAAAGAAAGAGCACAAUCCUCAUUCAUGGCACUAAAGAGGUACUUGGUUUCCAGAAUCAAUCGUGUUAAGAAGAAGCCUCGCAGGUCAUCUUCGAGUAAGAGGAGUUUCUCGAGAAGGUAAAAACGGGGACUUUGAAGUGGAUUAAUCAAGAUUAGAUGGCGGAGGUCAGAGCAGAGAAUAAUUCCGUGAAAUAGCACCUAGAGACGAUACAGACGGAGUUUGAGGAUCUCAGAUCUGAUAUUGCACAAAGGAGGGAUGUCAAUAAGCAUGUGAUCAGCACCCUCCAGUUGGUUGAUCUUAUCCUUACUGGGUGAAAAUGAAGAACCUCCUGCCGAGAAGACUCUCAUAAACCCCGAAGCCAUCACGCUACCGAGAUGGUCUCGAACUACAGCUCCCACUCCCCCUUCUUUUUUUCUUUUUUUUUUUGAUAAGCAACUUAUGGUUCUUUCUUGUCUCUCUUGUUGCUAGUUCGGGAGCUGUAACAUAGCAUGGAGCAAGUCUCUUCUGAUUCAAGGAAGACCAACACAACAUAUGUACCUUAUACUGUUUUUAUUAUGUAUCCAAUAGUGUUUCUCAGUCUUCGUCAAUCGUACAUAUUACGUACAUGCUCUAAAUUCUAUUGCAUCCAUGGUUCGUGGCUUCUUGAA
Molecule: long non-coding RNA, 886 nt
Organism: Tripterygium wilfordii
Lineage: Eukaryota; Viridiplantae; Streptophyta; Magnoliopsida; Celastrales; Celastraceae
Exons: 3
Source: RefSeq, a predicted model, not a curated record